AACGAACGCUGGCGGCAUGCCUAACACAUGCAAGUCGAACGAUCCCUUCGGGGAUAGUGGCGCACGGGUGCGUAACGCGUGGGAACCUGCCCUUAGGUUCGGAAUAACUCAGAGAAAUUUGAGCUAAUACCGGAUAAUGUCUUCGGACCAAAGAUUUAUCGCCUUUGGAUGGGCCCGCGUUGGAUUAGCUAGUUGGUGGGGUAAAGGCCUACCAAGGCGACGAUCCAUAGCUGGUCUGAGAGGAUGAUCAGCCACACUGGGACUGAGACACGACCCAGACUCCUACGGGAGGCAGCAGUGGGGAAUAUUGGACAAUGGGCGAAAGCCUGAUCCAGCAAUGCCGCGUGAGUGAUGAAGGCCUUAGGGUUGUAAAGCUCUUUUACCCGGGAUGAUAAUGACAGUACCGGGAGAAUGAGCCCCGGCUAACUCCGUG
Molecule: ribosomal RNA, 433 nt
Filed under: uncultured bacterium
Lineage: Bacteria
Description: partial 16S ribosomal RNA
Rfam family: Bacterial small subunit ribosomal RNA
Source: RNAcentral